This 23-nucleotide non-coding RNA is filed under the name Mus musculus (house mouse). Lineage: Eukaryota; Metazoa; Chordata; Mammalia; Rodentia; Muridae. The record is from RNAcentral.
GCAGUCAGAUGACCCGGGUGGGA